AUGACCGGCGCUGCUCGCUCGGCACGAGGCGGCGGGGAGGGGGCCGCCGGGAUGGAGGGGAAGGGCGCGGUGGCGGCCGGGCUGGUGGGGUUCCUCGGGAUGGGGCUCGACAGGGUGCGGCUGCCGCUGCCGGAGAAGCUGUCGGCCAAGGCGCUGCGGAGCCACGUGCGGGGGCACGGCUCGCGGGAGGCGCGGGAGCGCUGGUGGCGCUGGACGCUCUUCCUCUGGGUGGUCGGCUGGACGCUCAUCUGCCUGCAGAUCUUCCACUACUUCGACUCCGGCGCCGUGGAGAAGCGCCGGGAGUCGCUCGCCAGCAUGUGCGACGAGCGCGCCCGCAUGCUCCAGGACCAGUUCAACGUCAGCAUGAACCACCUCCAGGCGCUCGCCAUCCUCGUCAACACCUUCCACCACUCGCUCAACCCCUCCGCCAUCACCCAGGCGACGUUCGCGAGGUACGCGGAGAGGACGGCGUUCGAGCGGCCGCUGACGAGCGGGGUGGCGUACGCGGUGCGGGUCACGCACGCCGAGCGGGACCACUUCGAGCGGCAGCAGGGCUGGAGCAUCAAGAAGAUGUACUCCUCCCCCAACUCGCAGGGCCCCGGCGACGCCGCCGUCGCCGAGAUCCGCGGCCCGGCCGACGAGUACGCCCCCGUCAUCUUCGCGCAGGACGCCUACAAGAACGUCAUCUCCUUCGACAUGCUCUCCGGCGCUGACGAUCGCGAGAACAUAAUACGAGCCAGAGAAUCCGGGAAGGGUGUUCUAACUGCUCCUUUCCAGCUGCUCAACGGCCGCCUCGGCGUGAUCUUGACGUACUCCGUGUACAAGUCCGAGCCCCCCGCGAAUGCGAGGCCGCAGGAGCGCGUCCAAGCCGCCAUAGGCUAUCUAGGUGGCAUAUUUGACAUAGAAGCGCUCGUCGACAAGUUGCUUCAUCAGCUCGCGGGGAAGCAGUCCAUCAUGGUGAAUGUGUAUGAUACUACCAAUGACAAGCCGAUCAGCAUGUAUGGUUCGGAUGAUACAGGCAGUGGGAUGUACCAUAAUAGCACGCUCAACUUUGGCGAUCCAUCUAGGCGGCAUGAGAUGCAUUGCAGGUUCAUGCAAAAGCCACCAUUGCCAUGGCUUGCAAUAACAUAUUCGUUAGGGGCUUAUGUGAUUGCUUUGCUCAUUGGACAUAUAUUUUAUGCUACUGUGCAUCGUAUCGCAAAAGUUGAAGAUGAUCUUCAAAUUAUGAAGAAGCUCAAGAAGUGUGCGGAAGCUGCAGAUGUUGCCAAGUCACAGUUCCUGGCUACAGUUUCACAUGAGAUCAGAACUCCAAUGAAUGGGGUUUUAGGAAUGCUCCAAAUGCUCAUGGAUACUGAUCUGGACGCAACGCAGCAAGACUAUGUUAGAACAGCCCAAGCCAGCGGAAAAGCUUUAGUGUCCCUCAUAAAUGAGGUUCUUGAUCAGGCGAAGAUAGAAGCUGGCAAACUCGAGCUUGAGGCAGUGCCCUUUGAUCUUAGACUAGUCUGUGAUGACAUCUUGUCUCUCUUCUGUGGAAAAGCUCAGGAGAAAGGACUGGAGUUGGCAGUGUACGUCUCUGAUCAAGUUCCACAAACACUUAUUGGCGAUCCGGGUAGAAUGAGGCAAAUCAUUACAAAUCUCAUGGGGAACUCCAUAAAAUUUACAGAAAGAGGGCAUAUCUACUUGACAGUUCAUGUCGUCGAAGAGGUCAUGAGUUGUUUAGAGGUGGAAACAGAAUUUCAAAACACAAACAACACCUACAACACCUUAAGUGGCUACCAGGUAGCUAACAGAAGGCAGAGUUGGCAGAGCUUCCAACUUUUCAAUACGGAUUUACACUUGUCUGAGAUGACCUUUGCUCCCAUCAUGCCUGAAACAAUAAGAUUGAUAAUAUCUGUUGAAGAUACCGGCGUCGGCAUCCCACCUGAAGCCCAAUCCCGGAUAUUCAUGCCUUUCAUGCAGGUUGGUCCAUCCAUUGCCCGCAUCCAUGGGGGCACUGGCAUCGGGUUAAGCAUCAGCAAGUGCCUGGUUCAUCUCAUGAAGGGGGAGAUUGGGUAUGUAAGCAUACCCAAUGUUGGUUCUACUUUCUCCUUCACUGCAGUGCUUACGAAGGCACGCUCCAAUGCAAAUGCUAACAAAUCGCCAGGGUUUAAAGGGAUAAAUGCAUUGGUAGUUGAUCAUAAGCCGGUUCGUGCCAAGGUUACCAAGUACCAUUUGCAAAGGCUUGGAGUCAAAACGGAAUUGACCACUGAUGUAAACCAAGUUAUUCCUAAGAUGAACUGCGCAUCACUAGUUACAAGGCUAGUGCUAGUUGACAAGGAAACCUGGAUGAAGGAAUCCCAUUCAAUGCCUCAUUUGCUUAGCAAACUGCGGAGCAAAGAUCAGUCAGACCCUCCGAAGCUCUUCCUUUUGGAGAACCCUACUAAUUCUAUCAAGAGCGGUUCAAAUAUAUCGAGGGAGCAUAACUUGAAUGUAAUCAUGAAGCCGCUUCGUGCAAGUAUGCUUCAGGCUUCACUAAGGCGGGCUUUGGGCGGAGUAGAUAAGGUGAAUGGAAAGAAUGGAGUCGUUGGCAACUCAGCGUUGGGUAGCCUUCUUCACAAGAGGCAAAUCAUUGUGGUUGACGACAACGUUGUGAACCUUAAAGUGGCUGCUGGUGCUCUCAAGAAGUAUGGUGCAGAAGUAAUUUGUGCAGACAGUGGGAAGAAAGCAAUCGCAUUGCUAAAACCACCUCACAGUUUUGAUGCUUGUUUCAUGGACAUACAAAUGCCAGAAAUGGAUGGGUUUGAAGCCACCAAGAGGAUCAGAAUGAUGGAACGAGAGCUAAAUGAGCGGAUAGAACGCGGAGAAGCGCCACCAGAAUGUGCUAACGUUCGGAGGUGGCGAACUCCGAUAUUGGCCAUGACGGCAGAUGUUAUCCAGGCAACAUGUGAGCAGUGCUUGAAAUGUGAAAUGGAUGGCUAUGUCUCCAAGCCAUUCGAAGGGGAGCAGUUGUACAGAGAAGUAACUCGAUUUUAA
Molecule: ribosomal RNA, 3012 nt
Filed under: Triticum aestivum (bread wheat)
Lineage: Eukaryota; Viridiplantae; Streptophyta; Magnoliopsida; Poales; Poaceae
Description: partial small subunit ribosomal RNA
Source: RNAcentral